UACGUAGGGUGCAAGCGUUAUCCGGAAUUAUUGGGCGUAAAGAGCUCGUAGGCGGUUUGUCGCGUCUGCUGUGAAAACCCGAGGCUCAACCUCGGGCCUGCAGUGGGUACGGGCAGACUAGAGUGCGGUAGGGGAGAUUGGAAUUCCUGGUGUAGCGGUGAAAUGCGCAGAUAUCAGGAGGAACACCGAUGGCGAAGGCAGGUCUCUGGGCAUUAACUGACUCUGAGGAGCGAAAGCAUGGGGAGCGAACAGG
RNAcentral lists this ribosomal RNA (253 nucleotides) under uncultured bacterium. Its description in RNAcentral is "partial 16S ribosomal RNA". It matches the Rfam family "Bacterial small subunit ribosomal RNA", at positions 524 to 776 of the family's 1533-position model. The record is from RNAcentral.